CACGUACAAUUAUAUGAUAAGUUUAUUGACAAUGGAGCUAUCUCAUAUUGUGAAUACCAAGAAUGAAGAAUCGGUUAUCAAAACACAAUGCGUUUGACCAUUUCCAUUCUAUUGUUUUUGACAGAACUGACAUUUGGAAAAGGAAAAAUAUCAUGGAAACUUUUGACCGAACAUGUAAUUUUUGGACGUGAUGUUCAACUACAGUGUGACUUGCCAAAACAAACGUGCUGUCCAACUAGGACAUGGAGAGGUGGUCAUGAUUAUAAAACUUUGACUCUUAAUGAAUGGUCAUCAAAUUAUACAAAAUAUGAAGAGCAUUUGAUAAACGAAAAUGGAACAUCAAUAUUGAAUAUUAAGUCAUUUUCCGAGGACGAUGUGGACAUUAUUUACCAAUGUAGUUAUGGAUUCUCCAGAUAUGAAGCCGUUUUGGAGCUGACAAAGCAGAGAUAUGAGUAUCACCCGGUCAAAUUGGUUCCCGCUACUUUGAGUUUUAACAGGUCACAUAUAUAUACAACAAUAACAUUAGAAAAGGUUUUCCCAAAACCUCUGUGUAGUGCCAACGCUGAUGAAAAGGAAAUUACAAAUGAAGCUCUGAAAGUAAACUCAAAACAUGACGGAAUCUUUUAUAAAUCAAUGGUUGACUUCAAGUAUAUGGUCGAUUCUCAACAUUGUGUUGGUUUGGUAACUAUUACUUGUACCAUUGGAACUGUACGCAUAACUAUUGCUAAAAAGAAGUUCUCGUGUCAAAAUAGUUAUUCAAACCAAAGCAGUCACCUUGCUCGGACAGGUUUCAUCGCAUCAAGCUCAUAUGACGAAGAACCAACUGUUGUUCAAAUACUUUUAAUAAUUGCAUUUUUCCAUUCCAUCAAGUAAAUACAUUCUAUAUCUUUUAAUGCAUAAAAACAUUAAAUUAAUGAUAUCAAAUGUCCUUGUAAUGGUUUGUUAUAUAACAUGUUGAGUAGAAAGGUUAAUUAUUCCAAAAUAUCCUUCUUAUAUUAUUGUAAAUAUUUAAUUAUAAAGUAUUUAAAAUAUCAAGAAAACCACAUAGAUUUUCUGAAAAUAUCAUUAUUGUCUAUUUAUAGACAAUAAUAACAUGAUAUUUAUAUGAAAAUGACCUAUGUAAAUAAAUUGUUCAAUUUGUAAAGGUCACUAACAUACACCGUCAUAUAACGGAAAUCGUUUAUUGCAGUAUAUCGAAGGAAGCCAAAUGAUCGUUACAUAGUUUAAUUUAAACAUAUUCUAAUUGCAAGAAUAACAAAAAUGAUUUAAGAUAAGUUAAAAAAAACUAUAUAAAGUACAGACGUAUGAAUCUCAAGUCAAACGAUGUAGUUUAUCAAAGUUUAUUAAAUGUUUCCGAAAUAAAGCCAGACUAUUCAAUACUAAACAGAAAAAAACAUUCACUGACACAUGCGAACGUGUUUCGAUAAUUCUAAGAUGGGUGUCAGCUUCGGAGUCGCAUGCCUCCCUUAUUUCAAUCACGGCUCAUGAUAGAUGACUUGCCUACUUUUAUUGUAUUUAUUUUUCAAAAAGGUCUCAAGUCACAAACUUCCAACGUAACAGUACGCUAAUUGUAAUUACAACCAGAACUGGUUUGCUAUUAUGAACGAUUAAGAAAAACUGUGUUUAUAUAGAACAUUAAAAAAAUAUUUUUUUGUUUAGAGGAUUACUUGAAAUAUGGUUUUAAUAUUAAUUUACUCACUAAACUACGUAGUGGAACAUUAAAACUGAAUAAAGAAGUUGGUCGUUUUGACAAUAUUUCAAGAUAAUACCGUAUAUGUAUAUGUUGUAAUAUGAAUUGUAUAGAAAAUGAGUAUUUUGUAUUAGUAUGUCCUGCCUUUAGAUCUUUGUGGCUACAGUUUUUACCUAAAUACUAUUGUACAAAUAAUUGAUAGCAUGUAUUUCUUUUGCAAGCUAGCUCAAAGAUUUUAACCAAAAUCUUGUGUAAAUUUCUAAAUGCGGCAUGGAAGUUAAGAUUACAAAUUAUAAUUGCAUAACAGUUGUAGUUCUGUGCUUGCUAUGACUUUAUUGUGUUGUUCUCUGUUUACUGUCAUUAUGUCAUUAUAUAUCAUGUUAUUUUGCUAUAGCAUUAUGUUUGCUUCUGCAAUAAAAUAUUCAUUCAUUCA
Mytilus californianus (California mussel) is the source of this 2123-nucleotide long non-coding RNA. RefSeq lists it as uncharacterized. Lineage: Eukaryota; Metazoa; Mollusca; Bivalvia; Mytilida; Mytilidae. The record is from RefSeq and is a predicted model, not a curated record. The transcript is spliced from 6 exons.